This 314-nucleotide ribosomal RNA is filed under the name uncultured eukaryote. Its description in RNAcentral is "partial 18S ribosomal RNA". It matches the Rfam family "Eukaryotic small subunit ribosomal RNA", at positions 1470 to 1796 of the family's 1831-position model. The record is from RNAcentral.
CCCUUAGAUGUUCUGGGCCGCACGCGCGUUACACUGAUGCAUUCAACGAGUUCUUCCUUGGCCGAGAGGCCUGGGCAAUCUUUUGAACGUGCAUCGUGAUAGGGAUAGAUUAUUGCAAUUAUUAAUCUUGAACGAGGAAUUCCUAGUAAACGCAGUUCAUCAAACUGCAUUGAUUACGUCCCUGCCCUUUGUACACACCGCCCGUCGCACCUACCGAUUGAAUGGUCCGGUGAAGCCUCCGGAUUGGCGCGCACCUCGGUGCCGCCGAGAAGUUGGCUAAACCUUACCAUUUAGAGGAAGGUGAANUCGUANCA